This 389-nucleotide unclassified non-coding RNA is filed under the name plant metagenome. Its description in RNAcentral is "partial contains 5.8S ribosomal RNA, internal transcribed spacer 2, and large subunit ribosomal RNA". The stretch from base 1 to 105 matches the Rfam family "5.8S ribosomal RNA", at positions 50 to 154 of the family's 154-position model. The record is from RNAcentral.
GAAAUGCGAUAAGUAAUGUGAAUUGCAGAAUUCAGUGAAUCAUCGAAUCUUUGAACGCACCUUGCGCCCUUUGGUAUUCCGAGGGGCAUGCCUGUUUGAGUGUCAUUAAAUACCAUCAACCCUCUUUUGACUUCGGUCUCGAGAGUGGCUUGGAAGUGGAGGUCUGCUGGAGCCUAACGGAGCCAGCUCCUCUUAAAUGUAUUAGCGGAUUUCCCUUGCGGGAUCGCGUCUCCGAUGUGAUAAUUUCUACGUCGUUGACCAUCUCGGGGCUGACCUAGUCAGUUUCAACAGGAGUCUGCUUCUAACCGUCUCUUGACUGAGACUAGCGACUUGUGCGCUAACUUUUGACUUGACCUCAAAUCAGGUAGGACUACCCGCUGAACUUAAGC